Molecule: ribosomal RNA, 213 nt
Filed under: uncultured bacterium
Lineage: Bacteria
Description: partial 16S ribosomal RNA
Rfam family: Bacterial small subunit ribosomal RNA
Source: RNAcentral
GACGUAGGGCGCGAGCGUUUGUCCGGAUUUAUUGGGCGUAAAGAGCUCGUAGGCGGCUUGUCGCGUCGAAUGUGAAAACUCGAGGCUCAACCUCGAACUUGCGGUGGGUACGGGCAGACUAGAGUGUGGUAGGGGAGACUGGAAUUCCUGGUGUAGCGGUGAAAUGCGCAGAUAUCAAGGAGGACACCGAUGGCGAAGGCAGGAUCUCUGGGC